ACGGGAGGCAGCAGUGAGGAAUAUUGGUCAAUGGACGGAAGUCUGAACCAGCCAAGUCGCGUGAAGGAUGAAGGUAUUAUGUAUUGUAAACUUCUUUAGCAGUGGAGUAAUAAGGGGAUCGCGAUCCCUGAUGCAAGUACACUGAGAAUAAGGAUCGGCUAACUCCGUGCCAGCAGCCGCGGUAAUACGGAGGAUCCGAGCGUUAUCCGGAUUUAUUGGGUUUAAAGGGUGCGCAGGCGGCUUUUUAAGUCAGUGGUUAAAUCGUGACGCUCAACGUCAUCACGCCAUUGAUACUGGAGAGCUUGAUUGCGGUCGAGGUUUGCGGAAUUCGUUGUGUAGCGGUGAAAUGCAUAGAUAUGACGAAGAACUCCGAUUGCGAAGGCAGCCUUCUGGAGUGCGAUUGACGCUGAGGCUCGAAAGCGCGGGUAUCAAACAGGAUUAGAUACCCUGGUA
This 453-nucleotide ribosomal RNA is filed under the name uncultured Porphyromonadaceae bacterium. RNAcentral describes it as "partial 16S ribosomal RNA". It matches the Rfam family "Bacterial small subunit ribosomal RNA", at positions 341 to 792 of the family's 1533-position model. Lineage: Bacteria; Pseudomonadati; Bacteroidota; Bacteroidia; Bacteroidales; Porphyromonadaceae. The record is from RNAcentral.